GACCUCUCAGCGUUUUGUAAAGCAAAAUGGCGGCGGGAGGCUGCGGUGGGGUUUGGCGCCGAGCGUUGCAGCGCGGCCGCGGGGGGUCUUGCUCUGUUUCCCGCCCUUGGCGGGCCGUCGCGUGCAAGGCCGGAGGUGGGGCGGUGCCGUUGGGGCUGAGCGGUGUUGCUCCAUGGGCACCGGUUGUGGGUCUGGAAAUUCAUGCACAGAUCACUUCCAACUCAAAACUUUUCUCUGGCUCCCAAGUCCAGUUUGCAGCACCUCCUAAUUCUUUGGUAUCAUUCUUUGAUGCUUCUUUACCAGGAACUUUGCCAGUUCUCAACAGGAGAUGUGUAGAAGCAGCCGUCAUGACAGGCCUGGCACUCAACUGCACCAUAAACAAGAAAUCCUUGUUUGACAGAAAACACUAUUUCUAUGCAGAUCUGCCUGCUGGCUAUCAAAUCACUCAGCAAAGAGUUCCUCUUGCGGUGAAUGGGAGUCUGUCAUACAGUCUCUGCAAGGAUAACAAGAUGAGCCAGAUGGUGACCAAAACUGUGAGGAUUAAACAAAUUCAGUUGGAGCAAGACAGUGGGAAAAGUCUCCAUGAUGAUGCAAGGAGCCAGACUCUCAUUGACUUGAACAGGGCUGGAGUUGGCCUCAUGGAGGUUGUCAUGGAGCCUGAUAUGUGCUGUGGGGAAGAAGCAGCUGCAGCAGUCAGAGAGCUUCAGCUUAUUCUUCAGACACUUGGGAGCAGCCAGGCAAUCAUGGCAGAGGGUCAGCUGAGAGUGGAUGCCAAUAUUUCUGUGCAUCACCCUGGAGAGCCUUACGGAGUAAGAACCGAAGUGAAGAAUAUCAAUAGCUUAAGAUUCCUGGCAAAAGCAAUAGACUAUGAAAUACAGAGGCAAAUUAAAGAACUUGAAAAUGGAGGAACAGUUCUGAAUGAAACAAGAGCAUUUGAUUCUAAGCUUGGGUGCACUGUACCAAUGAGAGACAAAGAGGGGAAGCAAGAUUAUCGGUUUAUGCCGGAGCCAAAUCUUCCCCCAUUGAUUCUAUACGAUGCUAAGUCUUUGCCAGCUAAUGUGAACCAUCAGCAAGUGGUAAAUAUCGAUUGGAUUCAUGAGAGACUUCCUGACCUUCCCAGUGUGAAGAGAGCAAAGCUUGUUGAACUGUAUGGGAUUCUUCCUGAACACAGCUUCACCUUAGUGAAUGAAGAUGGAUUAAUGGACUUCUUUGAAGAUGUGGUGAAACAGACCCAGAUGAAGCCAAAGAAAGUGAUCGGCUGGAUUCUGAGUGACCUACUCAGUCAUUUAAAACAACAUUCCCUUACAGCAAAGGAAAGCCCCAUCAGUUCUUUUCUCCUUGCUGACCUUCUGAACCUUCUAGAAAAUGGAGACAUUUCUUCUUCAGCAGCAAAGCAGGUGUUUGAGGAAUUGUGGAAGGGAGAAGGGAAGACUCCUCUUGAAAUCGUUAAAGAAAAGCAGCUUGAACUGAUACAAGAUCAAGAAGAACUUGAACAGAUCUGCCAGGCGGUGAUUGAUGAACGAGAAAAGGAGGUUAUGGCGAUAAAAGGAGGAAAUGAAAAAGUUAUCAAUAAGUUAAUUGGACUGGUUCGGAAAGCUACACGAGGCCGAGCCAACCCUCUUCUGGUGAAGCAAAUACUAGAGAAGAAGCUGUCAGAGUAGCCACAAGAGAAACUGGCCCAGCUGUCUACAGAAGACGUGCUUCGUUCUGUCUGGUUUGCUGCUAAUGAACUUUGGUGCCUCCUUGUCUGUCAGGAUUUUUUUCCCAGACUGGUUAUGCUUCAAGGAGCAUCAUGUUUUUGCCUUUCCCAGCUGCAUCGGCCAAAGGUGGAUGAGCAAAGGACCACCUCAGCAGAAGCUGGCAGUCAUCUUACAUCUCCUUCAUUUCAGUGCAGCAUUCUGAAGUGUCAUUUCCAUAUAGCCAUAGGGAGCACGUUCCCAGGAAAAUCUGCAGAAGUGAUCAUCCUUCACUGCACAGCAAAUGGGCUCAGGGAACUGAUUCAGGACAAAACUAUCAAGGAAAUGCAGGCAAAGUAUUUCAUUCUUUUUGGCUGAACAAAAAGAGGGAAUUUGUGACCUUCCACAACGAACACUCACACAGACCCCACAAGAACAGCAUUCCAGAUGCGUUUCUCCUUGACACGGAAGUUUAGUUCUGAAGCACGAUACUGACUUUGGACAAACUACACUACUUGCAACUAAAGCAGCAAGCUCACAAUCACUCCACGUCUUCAGGUGAGAAAUUCUUUAGUUUGUCUGACCUACUGAAGUAACAAGCGACAGAUGACUUUUGUUAUGAAGUAGCAAAUGGCUCUAUGUGAAAUUACAUUUCUAAAGCACUGAGGAACAUGGCUUCCUCUAUUUAGAGAAAAAGCAUUUGAAAAUUUUCCUAGAAAAAUAUGGUAUAAUUACAACUACUGUUUGAAAUUAUUAGCAGAACUCUUCAUGUUUUAUAAAAAGGCAUACUAAAUAAUACACAAAUAAGGCUACAUGGAGUUUUAACAGAAGAUGACAGUUAUCAAUGAAAAUCAUUAUAAAGGGAAAGAAAUGAAUGAGUUCACAUCCCAGGAGUGUAAGGAUGGGUUUUGUUUUUUUUUUGUUUUACUUUAGACAGCAUUCUUUCCAAUUUCUAGAUUUUAGAUUUUUUUUUUAGAAUUGUCACAGCAGUCCUACAGUCCUACUUUUAUACAAGCCUUUCCAAUAGCUCCUUUUUCACCACUGGGUCACAAGUCUUUCUGCUUUAUGAACAAUCUCCUCAACUAGGAUCUUUGUCUUGGUUCAUGGAAGACAUUGUGUGACUGACUGUGAUUUGUCUCAGACACAUUACAUAAACAAAAUGCUGUGUUGUUAAUAUGUCAUCAAUUGCUACCCAGCCAUCUUAUUUACACAUUUAUAUCAAUUUCUUGCCUUUAAUAUUUCUUUUUCCUCCUACACCUGUAGUUCUAUACCUGUAUAGCCUGAACUUCUCAAGUUCAUUGCAGCCACGCUUCUUUCUGCUUUAAUAUCUACUUUUCCAAGUUGUGGUGUAUUUACAAAGACAGUGUGUUAUGGAGAAGCUGUGAGAUGCUAUCCUGCUCAAAAUUCUACGUAAACGCUGUUUUCCUAUCAUAAUAACAAACACAUAACACCUUAUAUCACAGACUUCGGAAACCUGUAGGUCAAAACAUCAUGAAACAAUUUGACCAAAGAUACAGAAAAAACCUGUGAGAACUUUGCCUAACAGUUUGUCUGCCCAUUCCAUGUUAAAAACAUUUUUUAGUGAAGUGUCCUCACCUCACUUCACCUCUGAGGCAUGUUUACACUACACAGUAAGGGGCAGUAUAGAAAAAUCAGUGUAUUAGCAACCAAUUAGCCAAGGAAUCUGAGACAUCCUCACUACAGUGAUACUCAAAUGCAAUCCAUAACAGCGAAGGACCGUGCUACCUGUUUUGUGGUGCAGAUGUGGGCUCACCUACUAUGAUUUCAGCGAUACACAGCAACGUCACUGCUGUUCACCAGAACAAACCAGUACUGGAGCCCAUCACACUCAAACACAAAAAAGAUUUUGCGCCAGCACGCUAAUUCUACAGCACUGCAUUGAAAUUUUAUUACAGACUUAGGCCAGCCUCAUUACAGUUCAGACAAGUCCGAUUUUAGCACAUUUUGACAAGAGGCCAUCUUAAUUAGAAUGAUUGUCAAUCCUGGCUCCCUGCUGUUUGAAGGUUAAUAUAGCUGGCUUUUAUCUUCAGUGUAAAAAGGAUUUUUCCUUUUUAAUUAAUUGGAAGAUGUAAUUAUGAAAGUUAUAGCGUGGAUCCAAUAAUUGUAUCUCAGGAUUGUCUCAGGGACAAUCUAACUACCAAGUUCAUAUUUUUAGCAGUAUCCAUUAAAUAGGGUCAAAUGGAGUCUCUCAGCACAAGACGCCUGAUGCAAUAUUUACAACUGACAAAGGAAGCCAUUUACAAGUUUCAUUUUGGAACUUACAGGCUUCCUGCAGACUGUAAGCCUGCACAACUCUCAAGGAAGAUAGUAAUGUGAGAGUAAAUAGGGACCUGUGGCUGGAAUAACUGCUGUACAAAUGUUGAGGUGGAAGGGCAGGCCAAAAACUAAUGCAGAAGAGCAUCUUAGCUUCAGAAUGAUACUUGGUUUUGAAUCAUUGCAGAUCUGAAAGCAAUUUUUGUGAGCAGGCAUGAAGAAGCAAUAGUGCAAUGCUGUUAGAAAAUGUAUUUGUUUAAUCACUAAGAUAUUCUGUUCACGAAGUACAACUGAUUUGCCAGAUCUAAUAAUGCAACAUUACUACCAAGUUUUGUAAUAGACUACAUAGCAUGAUGGUGUUAUGGCCAAGACAGCCAUUGGAACCUCAUGAUCCUUGACAAAGAGCAAGUCUCCCAUUUACAGGACUGUUCAACUGGCGUUACAGUAUGGUAUACAGAACUGGUGUAAACAAGUUUCACCAACAGAAUCAGUAACCUGAGAAAACAGGGUUCACUUCUACUCCCUUCACUCCCAAAAAUUUUACAGGGUUCUUAGGGUGAGCUAGAUCAGAUUCCUUCUCUGAAGAGUUCUGCUCUACUCCUAUUAGUUUUCCAAUGAUACUCACUGUUAGACUGCAAAUAAAUAAAUAAAUAAAUAAAUAAAUAAAUGGGCCUAUUUGCAUGGACCCAAAGGAAAGGAACUGCAUUGGUAUGGAAACAAGCAGCAGGACUGCAUCUGGAGUCAGGCCUGGCUUAAACAGCACUAUGUUUGUGAAACAGUUGUUAGCAGAAAUAGAAGAAGUAAUACGUUACAACACAUCUUUAUCAGAAAAGACAGAACAGGACAAGAAGAAUAAAGAUGAUUAGUUUAACACUGAAGAUCA
RNA transcript from Lagopus muta (rock ptarmigan), 4833 nucleotides. It is a transcript of the gene named glutamyl-tRNA amidotransferase subunit B, with no coding region annotated. The record is from RefSeq and is a predicted model, not a curated record. NCBI's taxonomy places the organism in Eukaryota, Metazoa, Chordata, Aves, Galliformes, Phasianidae. The transcript is spliced from 16 exons.